CCCAUCGAGACACUGACUCAUGGUCAGGGCUCUGGAAGUGUCAGCAGCCUGACACUUUUUCACUGUAGAGAAAUGCUGCUGAUCUGAGGCCUUUUGAUUGUGAAGAUCACCUGGGGUUUUUCUUAGGAUGCUAAUACUAAUCUCUCUUCUUUUUUUCACCAUAGGUCUUACAGAGAUUACAAAGCCAGGCCCAGAAAUCAUUUACCCCCUCUAAUCAAAUAAACAAAUUAAUCAAUAAGCCCUUUUAUCUUCGGGUUAAAGGUUAAUUAGGUAAGGAAUAAGAACCAGACUGGGAAGUGGGCAGCUGAGAAAGAGCUGAUUGAGCUGUAGCUGAUGAUAUUUCCUUCCUUAAGUGAGUGCAAAGAAUAUGCAUACAAAAGACAGACUAAUUAGUCUCUUUUCAGUUGAAAAAAGAACACAGGGGAAAAUCAGUCAAGGAAAACUAGACAGUAGGAAGCAGUGCUGUUGCUAUUCUGGGGUCUUUUCUGUAUUUCAGAUCAAGGGCCUUGUGGAGUCAUGACAUUCCUCUGGAAAUCAAGUCCAGUGGAGCCACGUCAUGAUCACCAAAGUAAUACUCAGUAUUCAGCAGACUAUGUGUAAAGAUGACAGAUUUCAGUACACCUCUGGAACUGUGAAGGUUAAAAAGGUACAUCACAUGGUUUAAGAGGUGGAAACUCUUCACAGAAACCUCACAGAAACAAGACAAUGGCAUUACCCCUUCCUUUCCUACUCCAGUCCCUUCCAAAUAUACUCCCUUCAGUGUUCAGGCUUCAUUUAGUGCCUUUUCAGUGGUUUCAGAGAAUAGAGAUAAGCUUGGUCUCGUGAGGAGACAUUAUUAGCCAGAAAAUUUUCUUUCUUCUUGGGGUUUUCUGGGGUUUCAGGCCUUACCAAUCAUAAGCAAUUUUUUUUUUUUUUAGAUGGAUGUCUGGCCUAGGAAGGUCUCUGGUGAACCACUGGAUAGAACAGUUUCAGAAAGGAAGUUUAGUAUUAACAGGUUGCUAUUUAUGUGCCUACAGGGAAAACAACACAUUCAGAAACCCUUAUCUUGGAGAAAAUUACUUUUGUAAGAUACUGAGUAGUUCCUUAAAAAAACAUGCCCAGUGAGGAAAGCCUGAAAAAACCAAAGCAUUGUAUUCCAAGUAAGAGAAUAUUGAAAAAGAAUGCCUGUCACAGUCAAAUACAGAAGAGAGUGUGUACCUAAGGGGGAAAGGGGAGGACGGGAUGAUGUUUGGAGCCUGAGUUUAAAAAAUGGUGAGGAGGAAGGCAGGCUGGAAAAGUCUAGGAAGAAUCUUUGCAAUUUUCCCAGGACAGUGUCCUACUCAGGGACUGUCUGCAUGGAUUAGGUGGAUCUGGCUCAAAGACAUGCAGCAAUCUUUCUUUCUUUUGUUUUUUUUUUUUUUUUUUUUUGGUUUUUUUUUUUUUUUUUAAGGAAAAAAUAAAAAUAAAAGCUCCCUUCUGUCCAGUGAAUAUAAUUUCCAUCAUACUGGGUAUAUAUAGACUCAACUUCAGGAAUAGCACUGUAGUCCUCCCCUGAGUGUAUCAAUAACCUGUCCAUCAGUGAGAGCUCUCUCUGUGUAGCUUUGGGGAACUUUACUGCACAGCUGACAUUUCAAUAAGCAGAGGUUUUCCUUUAAUGUGGUUUUAGGAUUGCCUCCUUUCUGAUGUUUCCUGUGCAGCUCCAGCAAAGCCCCCAAAACGUCCAGUAGCUUAAAUAGGUGUGUCCUGGCUGCACAUCUGCUCAUCCAUAAAGCAGGAGCAUUCAUGAUCUUCUGCUCUUACCAUGCUGCAGCAGUUACAGGUCAAAGAGAAGAGUCCCCGGGGCUGUGAAGCAGGUCCCUUUCCUCAUGGGAAUGUCCUGAUGUGGAGCAGGCCAACCAGGCAGCUGUGAAUGGUUACACAUUGCACUUCAUGCUCUAAAGACAGGCUUGCUGCUGUGAGAGCAGCAAACUCUGAACUACAGCUGUGGCUGGAUUGUGUUGCAAAAGAUGUCUGUAGUCAAGGUGAAUGGCUUGGGGACAGAGAGCUGGUGUCCCUGUGGGUGUGAGCAGGAUGUCCAUGUUCUUCUUUUAGUUGGAACAGGUCCAGAGGAGGGCCGUGAAAAUUAUUAGGGGGAUGGAACACCUGUCCUAUGAGAAAAGGCUGAGAGAAUUGGGGUUGUUCAAUCUGGAGAAGAGAAGGCUCCAGGGAGAAUUUAGAGAACCUUUCAGCACCUAAAGGAGCUCCAGGAGAGCUGCAGAGGGACUUUGGACAAGGGCCUGGAGUGACAGAACAAGGGAGAAUGGCUUCACAGCAAGAGAGAGUAGGUUUAGAUUGGAUAUUAGGGAGAAAUUCCUCCCUGUGACGAUGGUGGGGCACUGGCACAGGUUGCCCAGGGGAUGCCCCAUCCCUGGAAGUGUUCAAGACCAGGUUGGAUGGGGCUUGGAGCAAACUGGUCUAGUGGAAGGUGUCCCUGUCCGUGGCAGGGGGGUGGAAUGAGAUGGUCUUUAAGGUCCCUUCCAUCCCAAACCAUUCUGUGGUUCUAUGAUUCUAAACCAGUGCAGCCUCUCAUGGGCUGUGUGUCUGAAUCAGGAGCUGAAGGCAGAGCUUCCAGUCUGUGCAUAACUUUUGCUUUUAAAAAUUUGCAUAAGACAAAGCCUAAGAAUCCCUGAAACUCUCCAGGAUGGUUCACUUCAAUGUAUUGUCCAGUGUCCUUCCUUCCAUCCUCACCCCAACUUCAUUUGAAACCCUGAUACCAGUGUAAGACCCCAUUAAAAUGCUACUAUUUCCUCCACCGCUGAGAAGUGACUUUUACCUUCACUAGGAAAAGGUUUCUUUGCUUCGGGUGUGUCUUUCCUCAGUGUCACAUCUUUCCAGAUGAACUGGUUUGGGAAGGGGAAGGUUCCUGUUUCUGUGACAGUGAAUCUGGCAUGUAGGACCUGGAGGUUUAAAUACUGUAAUUACGCAGUUUCCAGGCUUAAAGUCCAAUUCCAAAUUAAUUCAAAUAUAAAAUUCCUGAAAUAAAUAAAUUAGAAAAAAAAAGGAAAAAAAAUUGCCAGAUUUCCUCUGGCCCACAAGGACAGCUCCUAUUGACCAAUGCCAAGCUCAGUGCUGAGUGGGAGAUAUUUUUUGCCAGCAAUGUUGCAGAUAGAUUUCCCUUCUAAUAUGGAACUUUGCAAAUCUGUUGAAUUAAUUUGAUCUGCCAUUUCCAAGGGGUGGCACUUAGAAAAUCCUUGUCCCAUGGCUGCCAACUUAAGGACCUCAUUCAAUUGCAGAAAACAUCCCUCAUUUGCCCCAGGCUGGGUCAUCAUUAAUCCCUCCCUUGGGCUUGUUUUCAGCCUCAUGGAGACAUGGGCAUGAAACCUUAAUGCCAACUAGAGCAAAGCUUUGAGUUAUGAACUCAUUGACUAAUACAAUUGAUAAAAUGCAAAGCUGGAGGGCGUUGGAGUUUUUUAAUAUUAUUUCCAGAAGGCAAAGGUACAAAGGAGAUAGAAGUAAUGACAUUUUUUUAUGCUGUUUGCUGCAGAGGAGAAAGUGGAAAAUAAGUGGAUUUGUGAGCUUUGACCUUGGCUAGAAUGGGGUUGGAUAUUUUCAACAUAGCAAAGUUAAAAAAGUUCAUGUGAGCUGUGUCCAGUGAAGACAACUACUCCUCCAGGAACCUCUUCCUGUCCUCCAGGACACCAGUGGAUUAAAAGAAAUAUUUUGUGAUAAAAGAACAAUUGUUUUUGUUUGUUUUAUUAAGCAAUUUUUUGAAUGUUUUAAAAUUAUGUUUUAGCUCUUUUCUCCCAUGAGAGCUCUGAGCACUUGGAAGGUAUCAAAGAUUGAACAUAAUCAUAAUAAAAUAGCUUUGACCUUGGAUUAAAAGUUUGCUAAGGUGACAGAGAAGCACAGGAAUCAAUUACAACUCAUAUAUGGAUAAAAUCCAAAGGCUGCAGUUGGUUAAAAUCUUAAGAAUCCAGGACCAAACAAGUUUGCCAGAAAUCACAAAUACCCAGAUUCACAACCAUGUGUCAGCUGCUCUUUUCAGUACACCUUGAUUUUUAAAAAAAAAGGCAAAAAAAGAUGUGCAAGCUCAGGGUCACUCAAUACUCCUCCUGCAGGUAUCCAGAAUUUGAUGGCAUCCAAAGGUGUCUGAGAAGCCUUCACUUGUAGGAUUCAAGGCAAGGCAUCACUGAUGAGAGGAAAUUGGGGGCAGGGUAAGGACUUGCUUUGUCAGAGGGAAAUUUCUGGGGUAUUUUUCAAGAACUUUAAAUUUUUUUUAGAGCUAUUGUCAUCCCUAUUUGGCAGGUCUGCACCCCAAUCACUGCCUGUAGGAAGAGUGAAAAGAAAAUAUGUGGGAUCUUUGUUUCUCACCAUAAAGAGAACAAAGCACAGGGGCAGACAAGUAGGUGCCACCAUUGUAGUGACAAUGACAAAACAAUACCUUUUUCUGAGCUGAUUUCACAAGCUAAUAUAAAGCUUUCAAAACAAAGCUUUGUAAGCGCUCCUGGAAUACAAACAGAAAUGGUUUCUAACCUCUCUAACCCCGUGAAGUGAUUCUUGCAGUUUAAAAUAUCACUAUGCUUAAUGUUGCAUAUUUUCAGAUCACAAAUUAUGACUUUCUUUAAAUGGAUGCUGCGUUUGCUCCCCUUCUGUUCCACAGAGGACAAUGUAUUCAAUUUAUUAACUUUUCAUUCAGGCUCUGAUAGGGAUAUUUGGAGAGCAUUCAAAAGGGUGCUUGGUGCUAGAUAUGGCUCUGAAGAGACCUAGCCCAGGCCCUGGAGAGGUCUAUUUUUAAUGGGAUUCUAGAGGUGACAUUAACAACAAGCUUGGGGCAAUGAAGCACAAGGAUGACAAGGUGCCCGGAUAAAAAGUGCUUUCUGGAGGUUUGAUUAAUGUGCUUUGGUUCCCUGUGCCCUCCUGCAGCAGAAACUCUUCCUAACACACUCCUGUGCCCGAAGGGGAACUGCAAAAGUGAUGACAACCACCCUGCCCCACAGCAUUUGGGGAAAGUUUUUGUGACAUCUGGGUUGUGCACGUCCAUCACCCUCUGCUUUCCGCUCUGCUGCCGCUACAGCCACUCACCAGCACCCCGGGAGACCUGAGCUCCUUCUCAAAGGGUAGCUGGCACAAGGUUUGUCUUGGAAGGCCAGAUGUGCCCAAAAUCAUGCUGAAUUAUGGCAGUAUUUUGGGUGGAAGUCUGGAGCUCUCUAAUCCAACCUGCUCAAAGCAGGAUGAACUUGCAAUUUACACUCGAUACCUCACAGCCUCAACCAGGUGCAAUUUGAGCAUCUUCAAGGAUGGAGGUUCUCCUGGUCCAUGUUGCAGUGUUUGAUCACUGCCAUGGUGAUGCCAAAACCUCCUCAUCCAAUGUUCACUCUCAGCAUUGAACUCCUCUGAGUAGGAAAUGGGAUUUUCUUGUACACAAUCCUUCACUUUGAGCAAUGCCUACAAGCAAAGAAAAGAAAACAUCAACCACUUUUUCAGAAUAUGAUUAGACACUUAAGGGUCUUCUGAAGUUAGAAAAAAAAAAAAAUUAAAACAGAUUGUGACUCAAGGAUUUAAGUGCAAAUCACCUCUUACUACUCUUCCCUUUCAGAAGAGCAAGUCAUUGAUUCCAGGCUGGGAUUCAGUCAAUUCACUCAUCACCAUCACAUAGAUGCUUAUUUUUUGGGAUUAUUGAAGAAAUCCCAAGAGACUUUGCCUUGGAAACCAACAUGGUCAGAAAAACUUUCCCAUUAACAAAAGAAUCUGAAGACCACUUGAGAGAAUAUUUUCAUUUUAUAAGAAAAUUGUUAACCUGGUGUUGAAGCACACAAGAAAAGCUAUAUCUCCUAGUUUUUAGUGUUCUGACUCUGUUUGCAUCAGAAUAUCAUUGAAAAUAAAGAAGAUGAGGUUAAAUUAAUACUACCUCUGAUCAUUAAUUCUGUAUAUAUGAAAUAAAACACUUUUUGGAGAAACAUUUUGUCCAUCUGCAGAACUAUGAGAAUGUCUUCCAUCCUCUUUAUAAAGACAAAUUUCAGGGAGGAGUUUUAUAAUGAUUUUUGGCCUUGUGGCAGAAUUUUUAAAGUGAACUGUAGCUAAACAAUUAUAUUUAUUACAAAUAGCUCUCCUGCAGUUGCUCAUCUACCCUCAUCUUUAGCAGAUUUGUCUGAAGUCACUGUAGGGAAUAGUUACUACAAAACUGCCUGCAACUUUAAAAAGAUUCAUCAUGGCAACAGCUCUUGAAGACAGAGGAGUGUUUUUUUCUCUCUUGCUUUCAAGAGAAUAAUGAGGCUGGUGCUCAGUAACCUGCCAGGUGCUUUACAGGAAGAUGGUGAUUGAGAAGUUAAUUAAAUGCAGGAUUCCCACGUCCUGGGUUAGCAUCCUAAUGGCAAGAACAUUUUUCUCUGUGUUUCAGGGAGGAGAUGUCUCUGCCCUCCAAUGUGCCCUGAGGAUGAUUAAAGUUUAAAGGCCACAGCUUUGGGGCACAGUGCUAUCAGUCAUAUAUGACAGGAAAUCAAAGUAUCAUUCCUCUUGUGUUCAUUAAAGAGCUCAUGGUGUACUUUGGUUGGUUUUUAUCGAAGUCCUCUUUCCUGCAACCUGCAAAUUCAAAUUUGGGUCUAUGUGCAUUUCAUCCACCAACAGCACAUAUUUAAGUAGCAUAUACAUAUUCAUCUUCACACCCUGUCUGCUUCUUCUCUUGUGACAUGUGUGUUUAACUUACAUGGCAACCAUGCAUCACCUUCUUUCAGAUAAAUAACAGUGAAAUUCUCAUUAGUCUAUAGGUUAUAAGGUUUUAAAAUGUCAAAAAAGCAAGAUGGAGCUGCUAAUUGAUUAACCUCAGGUAGUGCAAGGCUGCACCCUCAAACACUGAAUAUUUAGUGGAUUUAAAGCUGUACCAAGUUUUCUAGUGACUAAGGAUAGAAUUAAAUCCAAAAUUUCAUUUGGAGAUAAUUGUCACUUACCCAAAAGUGUUUCUUUACUGAGAAGAACAUUAUUUGAAAAUGAAUUACAAAUACACUAAAUAUGUUGGCUGUAUAACUAUUGCAGCUAGGCUGACAUAAAUAUUUUAAAUAAGCAAACACAUUAAAUGGUUUUUGCUCAUAAGUUCACCUACCUAUGCAUUAAAUACCAAAUCUGUAGCCUAGAAGGAGGUAUUUUAUGUAUAAAUCAAAUAUGCAUAAAUUAAAGGAAAAAUAACACAUGUUCUUAGCAACCCACUCAUAGUUUAGUAACAUAUGUUCCAGACCAGCAAGGGAUGAGUCUUGGAGGGAAACAAAAGUCCUUGGAGAUACUGAUUCUAGUCCCUGUUUUGUGCUGAAUUCCCAAAAGGGAGAAUGGAAACAGCACCAGAACCACUGCCUGAGACCUUCUGUGGUGUCUCAGGGAUUAGACAAAAUGACAAGGACACAGGAUGAGGUGAAAACAGUAAUUCCCUGCUAGACUUAAAUGUUUGGAGAUGCUCAAAGGGAUGGACUUUGUUUUUCUUCCAGUACUGGAGAACUACCAAAGCUAACAGGAAUUUAUCAGGAAUAGCUACUUAAGAUAGCAUGAGAUCUGUUGGGUAAUCUUUUACAUAGCUGCAAAACCUAAUAACAACAUUACAGAUGUUGAUGUAACUAAAACUGACACUGAUCUGAUGAUCUUUAAUCUGUUACAAGUAUUUCAUGCGAAUAAAACUUGUGUUAAAACUCUAGUUUUGUCAUUUAUGACUAAGAAUCCAUGCAGCUCUGUACAUGCUCAGGGAAGAGAUGUAGCAGAAAAUUACAAUGGGUGUGAAAACUAUUCUACAAAAAACAGUGAUGCUGACAUUGUGCAAAAGGGAAGAAACCCAGUCCAACAAGAAUUGUGUGUGUAUAACAAAACACACACACAGCACCCUUCCUCUGUUAUUUUCAAAGAACACCAUUGUAGCUGCAAAUCUGUAACUGGAAAAAGGCAAAAGGGAGGGUUCCCCAGUUAUCUAAUUCUGGUAUCCAUUAUGUGGCUGUGUUCUGAAAUUAGGGAAUCACAUAUUGCUUUUCUAUUUGCAGGAGCUGUACCCUGUUCAUGGCCUCUCUUGGACAGCACUCUCUAAAAGAGAAAUUAUUCAUUCUUUGUUUCCCCCUCCACCAUGAGUGAUGCUCCUGCCUUCUGUACAACAUGUGGUUCAAAAUCAUCAACUUUCUUCUGGAUUUUAUUAUCAUUGACAUUGAUACAGUGCUCUGCCUUCUCAAUCUGAAUAUGAAUGUAGUAAAUUUUCACAACACCUGCUUGGGAUGAGCAAAGGCUCCCUAAUUACUGGGCUUGUUUCGAUGAGAAACUGAAACACAGAAAGAUGAAGUCCAAAUAUAUCUACUAACUGUGCAUCCUCAUUUUAGGACUGUUAAUAUAAAAGAGAUCAGAAUAAAUGUCACAGUCUCACCUGGCUUUGAAUUUCAUAGAAUCAUAGAAUGGUUAAGGUUGUACAAGUUCUGUAAGAUCAUCAUCAAGCCCAAUUGUCAACCCAUCACCACCACCAGGUUUACCACUAAACCCAUGUCCCCACGUGCCACAUCCACAUGUUUUCUGAACACUUCCAGGGAUGGUGACUCCACCACGUCCCUGGACAGCCUGUUCCAAUGCUUCCUUUCUAGGAAGAAAUUUUCCCUAAUAUCCAAUCCAAACCUCCCCAGGUGCAACUUGAGGCUGUUUCCUCUCAUCCUGUCCCUUGUUCCCUGAGAGCAGAGCCCAACUUUCCCCCACCACCACCCCCGGCUUCCCCCUCCUGUCAGGGAGUUGCAGAGCCAGAAGGUCCCCCCUGAGCCUCCUUUUCUCCAGGCUGAGCCCCCCCCAGCUCCCUCAGCUGCUCCUCAUCAGACUUUUGCCUCAGACCCUCCCCUGGCUCCAUUGCCCUAAAUGGCUUUCUUGUAGUGAAAGGAAAAGAUCGAGGCUGGUUAUUAAAUCCUACUUUAUACAGAGAAUAGAUUUCAGACAGUUGAAGAAUUGUUUUUGAGUUGACAUGACACAGAGCAGCUCCACAUCAGACUGGGCAGGGUAGCAAGAUGGGGGUCAGCCUCUUCCCCCAGGCAACCAGUGGCAGGAGGAGAGGAAACAACCUCAAGCUGCACCAGGGGAGGUUCAGGUUCGACAGCAGGAAGAAUUUCUUCACAGAAGGGGUUGUUUAGCAUUGGAAGGGGCUGCCCAGGGAGGUGGUGGAGUCCCCAUUCCUGGGGUGUUCAAGAAAUGACUGGAGGUGGCUCUCGGUGCUCUGGUCUGGGUGACAAGGUGGUGAUCGGGCACAGGCAGAACACAAUGACCUUGGAGGUCUUUUCCAACCUAAAUGAAUCUGUAAUUCUGUGUAGCAAUGUACUCAGGCUAUGCUAACACAAGUACUGAAGCCACGUCCAUUUGGAAUUAAAGUCUGCUCACAUCCAGUUAGUCUGAAAGAAAAGUUUGCACCUGCCCAUCAUGCACCAUGAUUUUAAGCAUCCAUCAGUCCAGUAGCUGUAGAAACAGAUGAUUUUAAUUUCAUUUCUUGUAACAUGCUGUGGGUAUGGAGGAAAUUGGGGCCGCAACUCAAAAGGAGUAGGUGGGGGAUGCCUGGUGGGAUCUGAGCAAAUAGAAAAGGUUCAAAGGGUGGGUGGCAGCAACCCCUGUGAUUUAUUGCUGAAUCCCAUCCUCAUGCAUGCUGUGAACAUAGACGUGAAUGAAGUCUCUAAGCAGGUCCUGUUCUCUCUCUGCUUCGGUGCACACUGACCUGUGCUGUUCCUGCCCUGCCUCCAGCUGGAGGCAAUGAAACCAAGCCAAAGUAAAUCACAGAUACACAAAUAUAUCCACCUAGUUUUGUACCAAGGGAAAUUUAAAUCCUGCUUGACUCACCCAGGAGACACAGAACUCUGAAACAUGAAUAUUCAUUAUUAUCAUUAUCUUAAUGCUCGGCAGAAAGUACCCUGAGCAUUUUGAGGGCAAUGCAGGCAUAUUUUGUUCCAUCUCUAGUCCAAAGAACUUACCUCAUACCUGAGGUUAAUUUAAAAAUACGGAUUAAAGUAAUUAUUCAGUGUUUGAUUCAAUACUGAUUAGGCAAUGCUAUGCUUAAACCAAGAUGUGUGCUGGAAGCGUCACAAACACAAUGUAAACCAAUUAUUAGAGUAACCUUUUCUUCCCAUUCAAUCUCACCUUUGAAGAUUCCAAAUGAAUGCGGUGAAGGACUGAAGCGGGUUUGUGUGAUAAGGUUUUGGUAGCAGAGAAGCAACAACAGUGGCAUCUGGGAGAAGGUACUGGAACCUUCCCCUAUUUCCAUGGAGCCAAUUCCAGAUGGCUCCAGGAUGGACCCGCCCCUGGACAAGGCAGAGCCCAUCAGAGAUGGUGGUGGCACCUCUGGGACAAUGUGUGUAAGAAAAGAUAAAAACAAGGCAACAGCAACUGGGGAGAGAAGUGAGAAUGUGUGAGAGGAGCAGCCCUGCAGACCCCAGGGGGGAGCAGCAGGAGGGGCAGGAGGUGCUCCAGGAAUGGGAGCUGAGGUUCCCCUGCAGCCCGAGGGGCAGCCCAUGGUGAGGCAGCCGUGCCCCUGCAUCCAGGGAGGCUCAGGGGGAACAGAGAUCCACCUGCAGCCCAUGGAGGACCCCACAGCAGAGCAGGGAGAUGCCCAAAGGAGGCUGUGACUCCGUGGGAAGCCCGUGCUGGAGCAGGAUCCUGGCAGGAGCUGUGGCUCCAUGGAGAGAGGAGCCCACACUGGAGCAGGUUUGCUGGGCAGGAUUUGUGACCCCACGGGGACUUACACUGGAGCAACCUGAUCCUGAAGGAUGCACCCUAUGGGAGGGACCCAGGCUGGAGCAAAGAAAGCGUGUGAGGAGUUCUCCCUGAGAAGAAGGAGUGGCAGAGACCCUGUGUGAGGGACUGACCCCAGCCCCCAUUGCCCAUCCCUGUGCGCUGCUGAGGGGACAAGGGAGAGAAUUCGGGACUGAAGCCAAAUCUGGGAAGAAGAGCAGGGUGAGGGGACGGUGUUUUGCGAUUUGGUUUUAUUCCUCAUUGCCCUACUCUGAUUUCAUCCUUAAUGAAUUAAACUAAUUUCCCCCAGCUGAGCCUGUUUUGUCCGUGAUGAUCACUGGUGAGUGAUCUCUGCCUGCCCCAAUCUCAAUCCAGGAGCCUUUCAUUGUAUCUUCUCUUCCCUGCCCAGCUGAGGAGGGGAGUGACAGAGCAGCUGAAUUCCUGACUGGAUGUAGCAUUCCAAUCAUGGCAGUGUGUUCCUCAAAGAUGCAAUGAAGAAGGAACAGGCCCUACUAUUAUUAUUUUCCAAGGAAUAUGACAAUUCCCUGAAGCAUAAAGUGAUGUAGGCUCAUUUCCCACAGGGAGUCACCACAGGGGAUGUGGAAAUGCAAGACUUCAGACUGGAACUAAAUGUUUGCCCUGCAAGCAAUGAACAAAAAUGCAUCAGAAGCCUCUGCCCAUCACGUGCGAAGCUGAAACUGCGUCCAAGUUUCUCAGUUUCAUAAACACGCACUUCCAUCACGAGGAGCCAGGCUAAUCCAUAUGUUUGAACUUUAAUGGGAGUUGUGAGGAAGGUCCAGUCCUUCAGGUCACGGGAUUCCUCUCAGCCCGUUUUCCAAGGUUUAUGGCUCAGGCCCUCUAAGCUCCUUUCUGCUGACAGCAGGGUUUGGGCUCCUACAGGUAUGAGCCAUGGGAAAGCCUCCAGACGUGGAGGCUCCAGAUGUUCACAGCUGGCUGUGGAUGACAGGCUGCUGUGCUUCCAUCACACAGUCUGAGCAGUGGCACAGACAGUCCAGCUCUGGAACUCAGAACUGGCUGUGCCCAAUAAAUGCCACUCUGGCAAUUGCCCAAGUUUAUUAAGAGGGCUGUGAGGCAGCACUAAACUACAGAUGUGGGGACAAACUCUUGAAGAGUGUGAUCUGCAUCUUAAACUUUCCCAAGCCUUGUGACUGUUCACGUUCCACACGCUGGAGUUUCAUCAGCAGGACUGUGUCUGCAAUUAAUAUGAUGAGUGGUUGCAACCACCUCAUGGAAUGGGAAGAGUUGUUCUCCUGGCAUUGCUGUGAUACAGCAAAACAACUUCUGGCUGAGGAACCAAGGGCUCUGAGUGAGCAAAGGGGACGGAGACACAGAGAGGUGGUUUCUGACUUAUGGUGGAAGUCUUGAACUGCCCUGCUUUUCUGUGGGAGUUGCCUGUGCCAUGAGGGAUGUCUUGCUCUGGGAAUCUCCUGGCGGGUUCCUGAUAUCUGUCUGCUGGGUAGAAAAUUGAUCUUAGUGGAUUGGAAAGGAGUUCUUAAAAUAGAUCAUGAAUAUAUGGUUGUGUUCUUCUGUGUAUCUUCUCUAUACAUCUUUCCUUCUCUUCAGCUGAACCUCUCAUACAUAUAUAUAAAUAUAUAUAUGUAUAUAUAUGUACCUCCAUUUAUUUCAUAGUCUCUUUGAAUCACUGGGGUUGGAAAAGCCCUCUAAGAUUGAAUCCAACCAUUACCUCAGCAUCACUGUGUUCACCCCUAAACCACAGUCCUGAGUGCCACAUCCACACACCUUUUGAACUCCUUCAGGGAUGUUGACUCCACCACUCCUCUGGGCAGCCUAUUCCAGUGCCUGACCAUCCAUUCAAUGAAGAACUUUUUCCCAAUAUCCAAUCUAAACCUCCCCUGUUGCAGCUUGAGGCCAUUUCCUCUGCUCCCUGUCUGCUCCUGUAUUUAUUCUUGUACAUACUUAAGUCUGGUUUUGAAACUUCUCAGUUUGGCUCCUGACUUUGUGAAAACAAGUUAUGUUUUUCUGUUAUCCCUUGUGAAGGGUGAUUGAUAUCAGAAGGGUCAUAUUUAUUACUUCAUUGCUACUUUCCAUAAAUCUUACAGGUGAUAUUAAUGUUAUAAUGUUAAACAGGCAGUGAAUUGACUUUGACGGGAAAAAGAAUAAUUCUGAGAUCAUAUCCAAAAGUAGCUGUUUUUAGAGCAAGCUCUUAACAACCAUGUUUCCCUUUUAGCAUGAUGCAUAAUCCCAUUAUAUUAAACACAUAACAAAAACCCCCCCAUAAAAAUAGAAGGUACAAGACAUAAUUAUUGACUCUGUUUGGCCUGAAGGAAUAAAACUCUGUUUCAGCCAAGCAAGAUAACAUCAAAUUUUUAUUCCUUGCAUUUCAUUACUUAUGACUCAUCUCUGGCCAAUCCAAUUAUCAUUCUAAAUACUGCAACUGUUUUCAAAACUUAUUUCACAUCAAUUUAGACAACUUCCCCUGUACUCUUUACCAAAAUCAAACAAGUAGUAAAUUAAAACAAGACGCACUAGCAAUGCAUCGAGAAAGUUAGGACUGAGAAUUUGAAAGAAAAAAAAGGAAAAGCUAAAAUAAAGGAGAAAGUCCUGAAACCUGAGUUAAAAACCAGGUAACAGCAACAGAGUGUACUCUUUUCCUGCCCAGAAGGCUAUAGAGGGCCUAUUGUUUCUUUUCAGGAAGAAGGAAAUGAAAAUAUAAUGGACAGAUUGGAAAUGAAUUCAGUAGCAUGUCAUAAGAUUUAAAAUCUUGGACAAUUUUUUAAAAUCUAUUAUUUUUGGUUUGUUUUGAGGUGCUGUAGUUUGUAGUAGCUGUAAAGCUACAGCCCUAAAGCUGCCUUUGCAAUUUUGGAAAUCAUUCUGUUGGUGAGUGAAGGUGGAGGCGAUGGCACACGGAAACAGGAGCUUUGGCAGCAGCAUUCCUGAACUCUACUUUUCUUCUCCACUUUUCUUCUCAGUAAAUGUCCAAAUCUUUCAUUUCUUGCAGAUCCUUAAGAGUAUCCCUUUUCCUGCUGUUUAGGUAGGAAGGGAAGGAUGUUUGGGCUGCAAUUAAGCAACAUCUUUGAAGUGGAUUGAGAGAGACCUGCAACUCAUGUCUGGACUACUCUACUUUCUGCUUCUUAAAGCUGUUUUCUAAAGAAACCUGUCAGCAAGUCCUCCAAAGAUGAACAAACUAGCCAUAUAAUUAUAAUUUAGUUACUUCUGUGUUAUCUAUUUGGGUCUUCUUUGCUUUUCCACCUCCUAGUCUUUUUUAAUCAGCAUAACUCAGAGUAUAUUUCCAUUGUCCUUGUCUCUAUUAGUGGGUUUUAUUUUAGUUUUUGUCCCAAGGUACAAAACUGUUUCCCACAGUAAAAGCCCAGAGCAGUUAGCCACAAUUAAUAUAUGUAGAAAAGUAGGAAUUUGUUGGUUGCAGUGGAAAACAAGGUUCUGGUUCGGUGAUGUGCAUCCUCCAAAUUCAGCAAAGGGUUUAAACACUCAGGAGGAGCAGCAUCUUCAUGCAACAACAGUACAGAGCCUCUGGUGAUAAUAUAAUUCAAGCAGUUGUUUAGUCCUGAAAUCUUCCAGGAACCUCUGCAAAUUGUGAACAGAAAUUUUUUAUUUGGUUGCUGUUGUUGCAGAGGUACUUGAGCCAGGUCCAGGCUUUCCCAGAAUGCAGGCAGGAUUAUUCCUGGACUUGUUUUUCAUCUUGUUUUACCGAGAAGUUUUGUUGUUUUGGGUUUUUUUUUUGUUUGUUUGUUUUGUUUUUUUUUUUCCACAAAAUAAGCUCUGUAGGAUGUGGAUUUACAGAUCCCUUUACACUUGGUCUAGUCCUGAGGCAAACUCAAACCAAAUUUGUCCCAGUCCUUUACAGCCUGAUAACCUAUCCCAAAUUAUGGCCCACUCUUUGUGGUUAUAACUAUGCAUGAGAACAGAUAUUGCAAGGUAACAGGUGAAAAGUUCAUACCUAAUUGCUUUAUAGUGUCUUGUUUCUUUGGCUCAACCCCAUCUCAUGAGACUUAUUUGAAAUAGUAUCUUUUGCAGGUACUGGGAAUUGGAAACACUUCAUGGCAUUUGCACCCUUGCUGUGAAAUGGAAAACAUUUUAGAUGCAUUAUAAACAGGAGAAAAGUCCUUAGAGGGUCCCACUCUGACACACUGCGAGUUUUGUAACAAUUAAUUAACUGGAUGAGCUCAUAAAUGUAAUAAGUGUGCCAAAUGUGACAGUGGUUCCAAUUUCCCCUGGGUGUAUUACCUGAUUAGCAUUGAUUUACUACCCUGGUCUCUGUUGGAUUAAAUAAAGUUCUUGCAAACACACCAUAUUUCAAGUAACUGCAUUAAAUCCCCCCCUCCCCCCCAAAAAAAGA
Molecule: long non-coding RNA, 15001 nt
Organism: Pseudopipra pipra
Lineage: Eukaryota; Metazoa; Chordata; Aves; Passeriformes; Pipridae
Exons: 4
Source: RefSeq, a predicted model, not a curated record